GAUGAAGAACGCAGCGAAAUGCGAUAAGUAAUGUGAAUUGCAGAAUUCAGUGAAUCAUCGAAUCUUUGAACGCACCUUGCGCUCUUUGGUAUUCCGAAGAGCAUGCCUGUUUGAGUGUCAUGAAAAUAUCAACCUUGACUUGGGUUUUGUGCUCUAGUCUCGGCUUGGAAUUGGGUGCUUGCCGCUUUUACGAGCGGCUCACCUUAAAUGUAUUAGCUGGAUCUGUCUUUGAGACUUGGUUUGACUUGGCGUAAUAAGUAUUUCGCUAAGGACAUUCUUCGGAGUGGCCGCGUUUCUAGGACGCUUGUCCGCUUUCCAAUACAAGUUCCACCUCGUGGACAUGACUUUUUAUUAUCUGGCCUCAAAUCAGGUAGGACUACCCGCUGAACUUAAGCAUAUCAAUAAGCGGAGGA
RNAcentral lists this unclassified non-coding RNA (413 nucleotides) under soil metagenome. RNAcentral describes it as "partial contains 5.8S ribosomal RNA, internal transcribed spacer 2, and large subunit ribosomal RNA". The stretch from base 1 to 120 matches the Rfam family "5.8S ribosomal RNA", at positions 35 to 154 of the family's 154-position model. The record is from RNAcentral.